GCAAGUCGCACGAGAACGUUUCAGCUUGCUGGAAUUAGUAAAGUGGCGUACGGGUGAGUAACGCGUGGGUAAUCUACCUCCGAAUUGGGGAUAACAUUGCGAAAGCGAUGCUAAUACCGAAUGAUAUCUCAAUAACUCCGGUCUUUGAGAUCAAAGGUGGCCUCUCCAUGGAAGCUACUGUUUGGAGAUGAGCCCGCGUACCAUUAGCUUGUUGGUAGGGUAACGGCCUACCAAGGCGACGAUGGUUAGCUGGUCUGAGAGGAUGAUCAGCCACACUGGAACUGACACACGGUCCAGACUCCUACGGGAGGCAGCAGUGAGGAAUUUUGCGCAAUGGGGGAAACCCUGACGCAGCAACGCCGCGUGAGUGAUGAAGGCUUUCGGGUCGUAA
RNAcentral lists this ribosomal RNA (391 nucleotides) under uncultured Desulfobacteraceae bacterium. RNAcentral describes it as "bacterial SSU rRNA". It matches the Rfam family "Bacterial small subunit ribosomal RNA", at positions 57 to 428 of the family's 1533-position model. Lineage: Bacteria; Pseudomonadati; Thermodesulfobacteriota; Desulfobacteria; Desulfobacterales; Desulfobacteraceae. The record is from RNAcentral.